Molecule: ribosomal RNA, 866 nt
Filed under: Superstratomyces atroviridis
Lineage: Eukaryota; Fungi; Ascomycota; Dothideomycetes; Superstratomycetales; Superstratomycetaceae
Description: eukaryotic LSU rRNA
Rfam family: 5.8S ribosomal RNA (bases 396-544)
Source: RNAcentral
CAAACGUGAUGGUUUAGAGGAAGUAAAAGUCGUAACAAGGUUUCCGUAGGUGAACCUGCGGAAGGAUCAUUACCGAGUGAGGGCGCUCCGGCGCCCGCUGACCUCACCAUCCACUGCCAUCGUAACACGUACGAGCGGGCUCGCGACGGCCGUGAGGCCCGAGCGACCCGCCACAGACCAGUCGCCGUGGGCUCGCGAGAGCGGCCCACCCCCCGACGCAGUGAGCCCACCGCCGGGCGUUCCGGCGGUGGGAGUGAGUUGUGUCGGGGCGAAGUGUCCGGGAACGCCCCGGCGUGACUGCGUGCACACCCCCCUGGCGCGAUGGCGCCUGUGGGGGUUCCUACCAAUCCAGUCGUCAGCAACGUCUGAGUCCUCAAGGGCUAAAUUUUGAAAACAACUUUCAACAGUGGAUCUCUUGGCAUUGGCAUCGAUGAAGAACGCAGCAAACCGCGAUAUGUGGUGUCAUUUGCAACGCUUGUCAUCGAAUCUUUGAACGCACAUUGCGCCCUCCGGUACUCCGUUGGGCACGCCCGUCUCAGCGUCAUUACACCCCUCAAGCUCCCGCUUGGUCUUGGGCGUGGUCCUCCCCCGGACCCGCCUCGAAUCCGCGGGCGGGUCGCAUCAACCCCCCGGCGUUGCAGAGCCUCUCGAGCCUCGCCGUGGCGGCCGUUGCGCCCCAGCCCCAUAACCGCCCCUCGCGGGCAGCGCCUCGCGGCGUACCAAGUUUGACCUGAGAUCGGGCGGGUAUACGCGCCGAACUUAAGCAUAUUACUCAGCGCAGGAAAAGAAAGCAACAGCGAUUGGGUCAGUAGCGGCGAGCGAAGCCCCAAGAGUCCGGUUUUGAAAGCUCCUUCGGGCGCGUUGUA